GGGCACUCUAGCGAGACUGCCGGUAAUAAACCGGAGGAAGGUGGGGAGUGACGUCAAAUCAUCAUGCCCCUUAUGACCUGGGCUACACACGUGCUACAAUGGUUGGUACAACGAGUUGCGAGUCGGUGACGGCGAGCUAAUCUCUUAAAGCCAAUCUCAGUUCGGAUUGUAGGCUGCAACUCGCCUACAUGAAGUCGGAAUCGCUAGUAAUCGCGGAUCAGCACGCCGCGGUGAAUACGUUCCCGGGCCUU
Molecule: ribosomal RNA, 251 nt
Filed under: uncultured Streptococcus sp.
Lineage: Bacteria; Bacillati; Bacillota; Bacilli; Lactobacillales; Streptococcaceae
Description: partial 16S ribosomal RNA
Rfam family: Bacterial small subunit ribosomal RNA
Source: RNAcentral